ACGAACGCUGGCGGCAUGCCUAACACAUGCAAGUCGAACGAGACCUUCGGGUCUAGUGUCGCACGGGUGCGUAACGCGUGGGAACUUGUCCUUAGGUUCGGAAUAACUCCCCGACAGGGGUGCUAAUACCGGAUAAUGUCUUCGGACCACAGAUUUAUCGGCUUUGGAUGGGGCCGAGUUGGAUUAUCUAGUUUGUAGGGUAAAAGCCUACCAAGGCGACGAUCCAUAGCUGGUCUGAGAGGAUGAUCAGCAACACUGGGACUGAGACACGCCCCGGACACCAGCGAACGGAAGCAGUGCGGUAUGGUGCACAACGUGUGAGAGCCUGAGCCAGCAAUGUCGCGUAAGUGAUGAAUGCCUUAGGGUUGUAAGUGUCUUUUACCCGGGAUGAUAAUGACAGUACCGGUGGAAUAAGCUCCGGCUAACUCCGGG
RNAcentral lists this ribosomal RNA (432 nucleotides) under uncultured bacterium. Its description in RNAcentral is "partial 16S ribosomal RNA". It matches the Rfam family "Bacterial small subunit ribosomal RNA", at positions 29 to 507 of the family's 1533-position model. The record is from RNAcentral.